ACAAAAUUGGCCAAAUGGUCCAAAUAAAACUAAAUUAAAACCUAAGCUAUAGGCUGACCAGUACUAACUGGUGGCCCAAAACCAAAAAACACAAAAAAUAGCCCAAAUCGAUGUAACACGAUGGACCAACUAACCUAUUACAUAUACCCUUUGUUUUAGGGCUUUCUAAUCCAAUCUUCAUUUCCCCUAAACACCUAAGCUCUGAAGAUGCCACCUCACUUCAACAGUGACUUUCUGCUGCUCCUUCUAUGAGUGACUUUCUGCUCCUCCUUCUAUGGGUUGUUAAUGGAUUUGCUUUGAUGUUGCAGCUCAUUUCUCAUCAGCUUUCAAGACUGUGUUCUCCGUUGGGUGGUAUGCUUCAUCUUUUUGCUAGAGGUUCCAUCAUGGAUGAAAAUUGGUCUAUUGGGAAGUUUGGUUAACUCAGCUUCUUUUAUUCCACUUUACCUGCUUACAACAAAACUGAAUCUUUCUAGGUGGAUCUGCGAUUGAGUGCAUGGGAAGCUUAAUACUACCACCCCAUAGUAAACUUCUUAUCUUCCAGGUUUCAAUUUUCAAUUCGAUCCUGAAUCUUCCCAUUUUACGGAGUCCUCUUUUGAAGGAUGUAAUAGAUAGGCUAGCAUUUCACUUUAUGUAAUGUAAAUAUUAGUCAAGUGAAAACUAUAUGCUGUAGCCUAGCCUUAUGCCCUUUAUCCCCUUCUAGUUGAUACUCUCAAGUAUGGACACUUUAAUUUGUCACUUCGAAUAAUGCUUUUCCCUCUUGUUUCCAUGCUGUUAAUGUGAAUAUAAAUGCAUUCUCCUGUU
Long non-coding RNA from Capsicum annuum, 801 nucleotides. RefSeq lists it as uncharacterized. Lineage: Eukaryota; Viridiplantae; Streptophyta; Magnoliopsida; Solanales; Solanaceae. The transcript is spliced from 2 exons. The record is from RefSeq and is a predicted model, not a curated record.